CGCAAUGGGCGCAAGCCUGACGGAGCAAUACCGCGUGAGGGAGGAAGGCUCUUGGGUCGUAAACCUCUUUUAUCAGGGAAGAACACAAUGACGGUACCUGAUGAAUCAGCAUCGGCUAACUCCGUGCCAGCAGCCGCGGUAAUACGGAGGAUGCAAGCGUUAUCCGGAAUUAUUGGGCGUAAAGCGUCCGCAGGUGGUUUUGAAAGUUUGCUGUCAAAGCGCGAGGCUCAACUUCGUAUCGGCGGUGAAAACUUCAAGACUAGAGCUAGGUAGGGGUCACGGGAAUUCCCAGUGUAGCGGUGAAAUGCGUAGAUAUUGGGAAGAACACCAGCGGCGAAAGCGCGUGACUGGGCCUGAGCUGACACUCAUGGACGAAAGCUA
Molecule: ribosomal RNA, 381 nt
Filed under: uncultured Leptolyngbya sp.
Lineage: Bacteria; Bacillati; Cyanobacteriota; Cyanophyceae; Leptolyngbyales; Leptolyngbyaceae
Description: bacterial SSU rRNA
Rfam family: Bacterial small subunit ribosomal RNA
Source: RNAcentral